RNAcentral lists this ribosomal RNA (420 nucleotides) under uncultured fungus. Its description in RNAcentral is "SSU rRNA". It matches the Rfam family "Eukaryotic small subunit ribosomal RNA", at positions 636 to 1060 of the family's 1831-position model. The record is from RNAcentral. Lineage: Eukaryota; Fungi.
GAAUUUCGGGGUUAGUAGGUUGGCCAUGCCUCUGGUAUGUACUGGUCUCACUGAUUCCUCCUUCCUUAUGAACCGUAAUGCCAUUAAUUUGGUGUUGCGGGGAAUUUGGACUGUUACUUUGAAAAAAUUAGAGUGUUUAAAGCAAGCUAACGCUUGAAUACAUUAGCAUGGAAUAAUGAAAUAGGACGUUCGAUCUUAUUUUGUUGGUUUCUAGGAUUGACGUAAUGAUUAAUAGGGAUAGUUGGGGGCAUUAGUAUUCAAUUGUCAGAGGUGAAAUUCUUGGAUUUAUUGAAGACUAACUACUGCGAAAGCAUUUGCCAAGGAUGUUUUCAUUAAUCAAGAACGAAAGUUAGGGGAUCGAAGACGAUCAGAUACCGUCGUAGUCUUAACCAUAAACUAUGCCGACUAGGGAUCGGAUGA